This is a long non-coding RNA of Scatophagus argus, 703 nucleotides long. RefSeq lists it as uncharacterized. The transcript is spliced from 5 exons. NCBI's taxonomy places the organism in Eukaryota, Metazoa, Chordata, Actinopteri, Scatophagidae. The record is from RefSeq and is a predicted model, not a curated record.
AUAUGCUCGCCCUCUCUUAGCCACGGGAGCCACACAAGAGGGGUGAAAGAGCCGCGGGUUGCCGAGCCCUGCUUUAAGAUGACAAAACGUUCACAGCCACACACGUGUACCUGCCCGUGUCGCUGACCAGUGCACUGUUCAGAGACAGCACUCUGCCGCCGGACAACACCUGAGGGGGGACGCACAAGCAGUCUGGAUGCAGGUGUCAUUACUCCAGUCAAACCUGAACUGGCCGGCCAUCUUUAAGCCAGGUGAGGCUGGGAGGAGGGAUGCCACUGGAGACGCACUCCAGACUGAUGGCUUUGUGGAGAACCACUGAACGUUCAGCAGCGGCUACACACUGAAACCGAGCCGUGUCGGAGACCUGAGCGCGGGAUACGACCAGCCGUCGACCGCUGGCAGCCACUCGCAAGCCCUCACCCUGUCUGACUGGUUUUCCAUCUUUAUACCACCUGGAAAGGAGCAGUUUUCACAGUCAAUAUGAGUAUGUUUGUGUGUGUGUUGGCAUGUAGUAUAGAUGUGUUCAUCUGUAUGAGAUGAAGGUCUUACGUGAUGACAGGUGCAGGUGUUCCCGUGGCGUGACACUCCAGCUCCAAAGGGCUGUUGAUGAUCACCGUGCUGUCUGUCACCUCGUCAGCUCCCUCAAUGAAAGGAGGAACUACGAUUCGGAAAAAAAAAUAAAGCUCUGUAUAUGACUCUGGAA